AGGACGAACGCUGGCGGCGUGCUUAACACAUGCAAGUCGAGCGGAAAGGCCCUUCGGGGUACUCGAGCGGCGAACGGGUGAGUAACACGUGAGCAACCUGCCCUUAGCUCUGGGAUAGCUCCGGGAAACCGGAAUUAAUACCGGAUAUUACACCGGCUGGCAUCGGCUGGUGUGGAAAGAUUUAUCGGCUAAGGAUGGACUCGCGGCCUAUCAGCUUGUUGGUGGGGUAGAAGCCUACCAAGGCGACGACGGGUAGCCGGCCUGAGAGGAAGAUCAGCCACACUGGGACUGAGACACGGCCCAGACUCCUACGGGAGGCAGCAGUUGGGAAUCUUGGACAAUGGGGGAAACCCUGAUCCAGCCAUGCCGCGUGAGUGAUGAAGGCCUUCGGGUUGUAAAACUCUUUCGACGGGACGAUAAUGACGGUACCCGUAGGAAGAAGCUCCGGCUAACGUUCGUGCCAGCAGCCGC
RNAcentral lists this ribosomal RNA (471 nucleotides) under uncultured bacterium. RNAcentral's name for it is "SSU rRNA". It matches the Rfam family "Bacterial small subunit ribosomal RNA", at positions 26 to 518 of the family's 1533-position model. The record is from RNAcentral.